Lotus japonicus is the source of this 925-nucleotide long non-coding RNA. RefSeq lists it as uncharacterized. The transcript is spliced from 3 exons. Lineage: Eukaryota; Viridiplantae; Streptophyta; Magnoliopsida; Fabales; Fabaceae. The record is from RefSeq and is a predicted model, not a curated record.
UCCUCCCCUCUGAAGUCUCAAUCACGUGUUGUAGCAGAACCGCCUCCAUCCUCUCCGGGAAAAAUGGGUAAGUACCAACCCACUUUCCCUUCCGCCACUCUACCUCUAGAAAAUCCGUCCUUUUCCCCGAUUUUGUGCUAGGCCAGCGGUAUGAUUGUGAUAGAUUUCACCCGCUCCAGCUGUGGUUACGUUUGGCGGUUCACAAAAUCUACUCUUCGCGAUCUUUGGCCCCUUUCCAUGGCUUCUCCGACGUCAGCCAUCACUUCCCACCGUCAACAAUACUUGGGCAUUGCAAGGAGCACUACUCAGCAGUACAUACACUGUACUUGACAAUGCACAAACUGGAUUGAUUGCAACAUAUUUCUUCUAUAAAGGCCAAAAAAUUGAAGAUUGAAGCAAUCAUUCGGAAAUCAAUGAUCAGGAAGUACCGGGGUGAAAUUGCUUAGGGAAAGGUCUAUAAAAUUAUCUAUUUUGUCUUGGUGACCAAUGGUGGAGUGGGGUUGGCCAACCUCACAUGAAUUCAAGAUACUCUUCAAUGACAGGACAAGGAUAGUCCCUGAUGAAUCUGCUCCUAUUUUUUGUGUACCUAAAUCUUUUAUUGUGGUGAUGAUAACAUCGUGUGAAAGUGAAUAAUAAAAAGGCGUGAAGGUGGUUCUAUAACUGUGGGGGGAUUAACACAUUUGCUACAUAGAAAUUUUUUUAGAGCCAAACACUUCAUAUUGCACAAUCUUGGAGCUAUUCUUGGUUCCAAGACAAAUGAUAUAAUUCUUUCUAUGGUCUAAGAUCUCAUAGUAGUCUUUACAUGCAUGGUCAUAUGGCUUCAAGAGAUGCAGUCAUAUGGCUUAAGCCAGUAUCUCAUCUUAUUUUAUCAUGCUAUUAAGUGAUCUUGAAAUGGUUAUAGAAAUUUUAGUUUAGAUCUCUCAAA